Molecule: ribosomal RNA, 439 nt
Filed under: uncultured bacterium
Lineage: Bacteria
Description: partial 16S ribosomal RNA
Rfam family: Bacterial small subunit ribosomal RNA
Source: RNAcentral
CCUACGGGAGGCAGCAGUGGGGAAUAUUGCACAAUGGGCGAAAGCCUGAUGCAGCAACGCCGCGGGAGCGAUGAAGGCCUUCGGGUCGUAAAGCUCUGUCCUCAAGGAAGAUAAUGACGGUACUUGAGGAGGAAGCCCCGGCUAACUACGUGCCAGCAGCCGCGGUAAUACGUAGGGGGCUAGCGUUAUCCGGAAUGACUGGGCGUAAGGGGUGCGUAGGUGGUUUCUUAAGUCAGAGGUGAAAGGCUACGGCUCAACCGUAGUAAGCCUUUGAAACUGCGGAACUUGAGUGCAGGAGAGGAGAGUGGAAGUCCUAGUGUAGCGGUGAAAUGCGUAGAUAUUAGGAGGAACACCAGUUGCGAAGGCGGCUCUCUGGACUGUAACUGACACUGAGGCACGAAAGCGUGGGGAGCAAACAGGAUUAGAUACCCGAGUAGUC